This 376-nucleotide ribosomal RNA is filed under the name uncultured soil bacterium. RNAcentral describes it as "SSU rRNA". It matches the Rfam family "Bacterial small subunit ribosomal RNA", at positions 309 to 665 of the family's 1533-position model. The record is from RNAcentral.
GGCCGCGGGAAUUCGAUUCCCCGCGCCGGUCCCGCCGCCCCCGCCCGCCUACGGGAGGCAGCAGUGAGGAAUAUUGGACAAUGGGUGAGAGCCUGAUCCAGCCAUCCCGCGUGAAGGACGACGGCCCUAUGGGCUGUAAACUUCUUUUGUAUAGGGAUAAACCUACCCUCGUGAGGGUAGCUGAAGGUACUAUACGAGUAAGCACCGGCUAACUCCGUGCCAGCAGCCGCGGUAAUACGGAGGGUGCAAGCGUUAUCCGGAUUUAUUGGGUUUAAAGGGUCCGUAGGCGGAUCUGUAAGUCAGUGGUGAAAUCUCACAGCUUAACUGUGAAACUGCCAUUGAUNCUGCAGGUCUUGAGUGUUGUUAAAUACCUGGA